AAAGUUCCCUUCGGGGAACAAGUAGAGUGGCGCACGGGUGAGUAACACGUAGGUAAUCUACCUUUGGAUUGGGAAUAACACCGAGAAAUCGGUGCUAAUACCGAAUAAUGCAGCGGCACCUAAUGGUGACAGUUGUUAAAGCGGGGGAUCGCAAGACCUCGCGUCUAAAGAGGAGCCUGCGGCGGAUUAGCUAGUUGGUAAGGUAACGGCUUACCAAGGCGAUGAUCCGUAGCCGGCCUGAGAGGGCGGUCGGCCACACUGACACUGACAUACGGGUCAGACUCCUACGGGAGGCAGCAGUCGGGAAUUUUGGGCAAUGGGCGAAAGCCUGACCCAGCAACGCCGCGUGAAGGAUGAAAUCCCUCGGGAUGUAAACUUCGCAAGGACGGGAAGAAUAAGUCGGUGCUAACACCAUCGGCGAUGACGGUACUGUUUGUAAGCUCCGGCUAACUCCGUGCCAGCAGCCGCGGUAAUACGGGGGGAGCAAGCGUUGUUCGGAUUUACUGGGCGUAAAGGGCGCGUAGGCGGCCACCGCAAGUCGACUGUGAAAUCUCCGGGCUUAACUCGGAAAGGUCAGCCGAUACUGCGGGGCUAGAGUGCAGAAGGGGCAACUGGAAUUCUCGGUGUAGCGGUGAAAUGCGUAGAUAUCGAGAGGAACACCUGCGGCGAAGGCGGGUUGCUGGGCUGACACUGACGCUGAUUGUGCGAAAGCUAGGGGAGCGAACGGGAUUAGAUACCCCGGUAGUCCUAGCCUUAAACGAUGAAUGCUUGGUGUCUGGGGUUUUAUAGUCCCCGGGUGCCGUCGCUAACGCUUUAAGCA
This 820-nucleotide ribosomal RNA is filed under the name uncultured bacterium. RNAcentral describes it as "bacterial SSU rRNA". It matches the Rfam family "Bacterial small subunit ribosomal RNA", at positions 70 to 866 of the family's 1533-position model. The record is from RNAcentral.